UAUUCAUUCUUUCCUUUUAUUCUUGUAUAUGUUCUCUCUUUCUAAUAUAUUUGUCACGGUGGUGGUUUGUUGCUGUUCUGCUUCAUGGACAAUGACUAUCUACUCUGUUUACACAACUAUAUAAUUUUUAUUCCACCUGCAUCAGUAAACCAUUUAAUUUUUAUUCCACCUGCAUCAGUAAACCAUUUUUUUUUUUAAGGUGUGUGGAUGCUCAUUUAUAGCCAUCUUUGUCACAGAUUAAGUUCUUGAGGGAAGUUGGUUUCGAAAGUGCUCUGUAGGGUUCAGGAAAAUAUGUCUGCAUAGUUACCUUGUCAUGGUUCAGUUGAGUGGAGGUUUCAUUACAAUUUUAUAUAUUGUCGAGACUUUGAGCAUCCUUUUAGACUAUGCUACAGAUCAUCAAAUAUUUAAUAAAUUUAAACAAAGAAAGGAAAAUUAUAAUUUUUUACAAUGCUUCGUAAUCCAACCUAACGUGAUACCACAUCAGGAGGGUUUUACUUUGUUCAUUCAUGCUUCAUUUUCAUCUAACCUGAAAAUUGGAAUUGUUUUUGUUUUGGCGAAACUGGGCCAAAUUGAAAUGGUGGUUUUCAUGUGAUAACUGAUAUAUGGCAAACUAUUGACUGAUAGUUUCAGCAAUGUUGUUACAAUUUAUUUUUUCCACCGUGCUUAAAAAUAAGUUAUCUGUCUCCUCUGUAUGCUAUGUUCGAAUGGUGUUUAUAACUUAUAGGCCUAAGAUUAAAGUCUCUGAUUUGGAGGUUUUGGGCAAAGAUUCAUCUUGUAAAUCAUAUUUUUCAGUGGUUUAUUGGAGGAUCUCUCCAGUGUGAUUACGAAUUUCAAGAUUAUUCGAAAGGCUGAAAUCACACCCAAAGUUCAAGUCGUUUAGGGUCUUUGGCCCUGUGUAUGUUAGUACCAGGGAAGUCAUUCAAAGAAAGCAUCUGAUGAUGUGCCUUUCACCAUCAUGACAUGUGACUUGUAGAAAGAGUAUCCUAUAUGCCAUUCUCGAUUCCUGUGGAUCCUUACUUUUGGAAAAUAGUUGUUUUGGGGGAAGGGUAGAAAGCCAAAUCCUUAGUGAGUGCAUUGGAUGCAUUGUUUUAUCACUCUUAUGGAUUCCAAAAGGAGCAAUUGUAUCUUUAAUGAAAAUAUAUGAGAAAUUAUAUGCAGGCUUGUGGGAGAGAGUUCAUCGUUUGCUUCAUACUGAUUUCAAGGAUUUUCUUUAUACAUCUAGAUGUUUGGGAAGGCUUUUGAGAUAGUAUUGUAUAGAUUGAUAUCAUUUUCUGGGUGUGAUCUUUUAUGAAAUUGGUUCCCCCCUCCCUUAUUGUUUGUUUUCUUUGUAGAAUUUAGUCCACAUUUCUACCUCCUUUCUUUUUGGCAUUAAUUUACACAUUUUUCUUUUUCUGAAAAUAAGGAGAUUCAAAUCUCUGAUUUUGUGUGUUUGAUGCUUAGA
Molecule: long non-coding RNA, 1441 nt
Filed under: Citrus sinensis (sweet orange)
Lineage: Eukaryota; Viridiplantae; Streptophyta; Magnoliopsida; Sapindales; Rutaceae
Description: long non-coding RNA (CSIN_LNC003460)
Source: RNAcentral